This 253-nucleotide ribosomal RNA is filed under the name uncultured bacterium. Its description in RNAcentral is "partial 16S ribosomal RNA". It matches the Rfam family "Bacterial small subunit ribosomal RNA", at positions 524 to 776 of the family's 1533-position model. The record is from RNAcentral.
UACGUAGGGUGCGAGCGUUGCCCGGAUUUAUUGGGCGUAAAGGGUGCGUAGGCGGCGCGGUAAGUCGGGUGUGAAAUCUUGGAGCUUAACUCCGAAACUGCAUUCGAUACUGCCGUGCUUGAGGACUGGAGAGGAGACUGGAAUUUACGGUGUAGCGGUGAAAUGCGUAGAUAUCGUAAGGAAGACCAGUGGCGAAGGCGGGUCUCUGGACAGUUCCUGACGCUGAGGCACGAAGGCCAGGGGAGCAAACGGG